GGCCGCGUAGCUCAACUGAAUAGAGCUUUUGACUACGGAUCAAAGGGUUGCAGGUUUGAAUCCUGCCGCGGUCAC
This 75-nucleotide transfer RNA is filed under the name Chlamydia trachomatis. RNAcentral's name for it is "tRNA-Arg(acg)". It matches the Rfam family "tRNA". Rfam says of the family: Transfer RNA (tRNA) molecules are approximately 80 nucleotides in length. Their secondary structure includes four short double-helical elements and three loops (D, anti-codon, and T loops). The record is from RNAcentral. Lineage: Bacteria; Pseudomonadati; Chlamydiota; Chlamydiia; Chlamydiales; Chlamydiaceae.